UACUCCUACGGGAGGCAGCAGUGGGGAAUCUUAGACAAUGGGCGCAAGCCUGAUCUAGCCAUGCCGCGUGAGCGAUGAAGGCCUUAGGGUUGUAAAGCUCUUUCGUGGGGGAAGAUAAUGACUGUACCCCAAGAAGAAGCCCCGGCUAACUCCGUGCCAGCAGCCGCGGUAAUA
This 174-nucleotide ribosomal RNA is filed under the name uncultured bacterium. RNAcentral describes it as "partial 16S ribosomal RNA". It matches the Rfam family "Bacterial small subunit ribosomal RNA", at positions 334 to 525 of the family's 1533-position model. The record is from RNAcentral.